UUUAACAUCCUUGUUUAGCAGGACUAGCAUCAGUCAAUGAGCUUCUAUUUGUUUGUUGUCCUGUUACAAUAGGACCCCAAGACUCUGGAGUACUGCCUGAGCCUCUUGGACCUGCAGCGUGUUCCUGACAGGACUACCUAAAUUCUCAGCACUGUCCUUAACAAGUCCGCUCUGAUCAGCUCUUCAUGUUUUCAAGAGAAGUUUAAUAGAAAAGCAUUUGCAACUUGAAAGAAACAAUGUCCAGAAAAUGACAGAGAAAGAAGAUGAUGAAAUAUUAAACCUGAUUAUGUUUGUCAAUAAUAUUUAUACCACAGGACCAAGAAAUUCAGGCAAGAAAAGCAAAAUGCACAUUGAACUGGUCAGAUAGCUCCAGGAUUAUGAAUUUUGCCCAGCUCAGCAUCAAUUUAAUUAGUUAUGGGAGCAAACAGAAAUUGGUCAGACAGAAGUCUAAUAAAGCAUAUUGAACUAGAGGAGACCUUCAGAGAAUGACAAGAGACCUCUCCUUGGUGAUUAAUUAGUUCAGGUUUUCUGGGCUUCUUUUUAGUGUGAAUGUAAAUUACUUUGCAGAAGAGUAGCAAGGAGCUCUUACAAAACUCGUGAGUGCUGUUGUCUUUGAGAUUUGGUUAGAACUUUGAGUUUUAACAGGAGCAUGGAUUAUGAGGAUAGCCUAUGGUGUGGAGCAUCUCCAAGCAAUAAAAAAGUUAAGGUCAAGAGUGCCUACAGUAUCUACUGAUACUUGUAUCUCCUUUGGGAGCAACUAGUAACAGUUACUCCAGCAGGUCUUCCUAUUCAAAACCAACAUGUAAAGUAUCCAGGUAUCUCAUUUCCAUAUUUUCUAAACAGAAAAACAGUAUUGGUUAGUGGAUAAGCCCAUCCACAUGGCAUCAAUUACAGCACACCUUUGCAGCUUUAUUUUGUUAUAGGGUGGAGAUCUUGUUCCUCUAUGCUAAAAGCCAUUGAGGGGGAGCUGUAGACUUGGUUUUGCCUUGAACAUGCAAGUGAAGUGAAAUUGAAAGUGAUGAAACCCUCAAGCUAUGUGUGUCUACAGUCAGCUCCAGACCUUCCCCUAGGAAAGAAGAAAACAAAGAUGUCUUUGUACUGGAUGAUCCUCCUUCAGUCACAGCAAGAAGCAGGUACCACUCCUGAAUCUGGAGGAACAAAAGCACAGGUGUUGCUCUGCUCCAGUCUCUGUAGCAGUACUUACAGACCUGAUUACAACAUGCCGGAGAGUUGUUAUGACCUAGAGCCCUGGGAAAAUCAUGUGGAAGAAAUGGCUUGAAGAACAGACAAGGAAACCCAGAUAUUGACAUCUGAAAAGCAAAGUUUGGACUGCACAUCAUUGCAAGGCUGCCAAAGAGCCUUCAGAGCACAGUGAUGUCCUGUUACUACCAGCCUCGAGGAGAUCUGAGCCAGCGCUCUGGAGGUAAUAGAGCUACACACCCAUUUGUUUCUCAGUUUCUGGGAGGCUGUAAUGGAGAAAACAAUCGCUGAAGAGCAAAGGCAGUCACCAUUGCUUAUAAAUUAAUCAUAUAAAAGCACCUAGAAUUCCUGAUGCUCAGUCCUGUUGUGAAUACUAGAAAGCAUUUCCAUCCCCUGAAGUCUCUAAUUCUUGAGAACUGCUACUCUCCUGAGGCUUGGAAAAAAAGGGAAAGAGGAGGAAUGUGUAUUAGACGGCUCUGUCCUUUACUGAGUGUGUUCCUUUUAAAAACGAAUGAAGACAGGCUUACAGAGCCUAUUAGUUGUUCCACGUACACAUUCAUUGGGAAGGGAAUUAGUUUCUGGCUAGCGCACAGCCACUGGGUGAUACAAAGGAAAGACUCCUUUAAUCUUCUGUGGCAGUAUAGCGGUGUCCAAGCUUGUCAGAAGCUGCAGGAGAGUGAUGGCCCUGGUGCUGACAGCCUUCUAAUUGGGUACUAGAAGGGAUCAGCAGAAAGCAGCUAUAAAAGCUGUGUUUGUGCCAAACGUGUGGCCAAUGUAAAGA
Coturnix japonica (Japanese quail) is the source of this 1981-nucleotide non-coding RNA. Lineage: Eukaryota; Metazoa; Chordata; Aves; Galliformes; Phasianidae. The record is from RefSeq and is a predicted model, not a curated record.